RNAcentral lists this ribosomal RNA (465 nucleotides) under Vreelandella stevensii. RNAcentral describes it as "partial 16S ribosomal RNA". It matches the Rfam family "Bacterial small subunit ribosomal RNA", at positions 338 to 795 of the family's 1533-position model. The record is from RNAcentral. Lineage: Bacteria; Pseudomonadati; Pseudomonadota; Gammaproteobacteria; Oceanospirillales; Halomonadaceae.
CCUACGGGAGGCUGCAGUGGGGAAUAUUGGACAAUGGGGGCAACCCUGAUCCAGCCAUGCCGCGUGUGUGAAGAAGGCCCUCGGGUUAUAAAGCACUUUCAGUGAGGAAGAACGCCUGGUGGUUAAUACCCAUCAGGAAAGACAUCACUCACAGAAGAAGCACCGGCUAACUCCGUGCCAGCAGCCGCGGUAAUACGGAGGGUGCGAGCGUUAAUCGGAAUUACUGGGCGUAAAGCGCGCGUAGGUGGCUUGAUAAGCCGGUUGUGAAAGCCCCGGGCUCAACCUGGGAACGGCAUCCGGAACUGUCAAGCUAGAGUGCAGGAGAGGAAGGUAGAAUUCCCGGUGUAGCGGUGAAAUGCGUAGAGAUCGGGAGGAAUACCAGUGGCGAAGGCGGCCUUCUGGACUGACACUGACACUGAGGUGCGAAAGCGUGGGUAGCAAACAGGAUUAGAUACCCUAGUAGUC